Molecule: ribosomal RNA, 305 nt
Filed under: uncultured bacterium
Lineage: Bacteria
Description: bacterial SSU rRNA
Rfam family: Bacterial small subunit ribosomal RNA
Source: RNAcentral
UUCGCCUACGGGAGGCAGCAGUGGGGAAUAUUGGGCAAUGGGCGCAAGCCUGACCCAGCAACGCCGCGUGAAGGAAGAAGGCUUUCGGGUUGUAAACUUCUUUUCUGAGGGACGAAGAAAGUGACGGUACCUCAGGAAUAAGCCACGGCUAACUACGUGCCAGCAGCCGCGGUAAUACGUAGGUGGCAAGCGUUAUCCGGAAUUAUUGGGUGUAAAGGGUGCGUAGACGGGAUAACAAGUUGGUUGUGAAACCCCUCGGCUCAACUGAGGAACUGCAACCAAAACUAUUAUUCUUGAGUGCAGGA